GCCCUCUUUCCAUCAUGGCUGUAAAUAAAGACUGUUAACAAUCAAUGUGGCUUAUCGUCAGUGAUUACAAUCUAUCACAGUUACGCUAGGUGCCAGUCCUUACCCCGGGUUGUCUGCCCAUGACGCCUUCAAGUUUGUUAGUGCUGGCAAGAAAAUGGAGAAACCUCAGCACUGCAGUUCUGACAUAUACGAGCUCAUGUGCAGCUGCUGGCCCUUCCUCCCAGAGAACCGUCCAACGUUUGAUGCCCUGUAACGCAGGUUCGAGACUCUGCUGGAAAAAGAAAAAGAUUACAUCAAUCUGGAACUAUUCCAGAGCGAACAGUACGCUUGUCUGGAUGCGGACAUAUUGGAUGAGAAGAUAUAGGACAUAAAUGAGAAGAUAUAGGGCAUAAAGCUGGUUGGAUUAGAAGAUAUAGGACAUAAAGCUGGUUGUAUGAGAAUAUGACAUAAAUGAGAAGAUAUAGGGCAUAAAGCUGGUUGGAUUUGAAGAUAUAGGACAUAAAGCUGGUUGGAUUAGAAGAUAUAGGACAUAAAUGAGAAGUUAUAGGACAUAAAGCUGGUUGAUUGAGAAGUUAUAGGACAUAAAGCUGGUUGAUUGAAAAGUUAUAGGAUAUAAUUUAUAAAGCUGGU
Molecule: long non-coding RNA, 630 nt
Organism: Physella acuta
Lineage: Eukaryota; Metazoa; Mollusca; Gastropoda; Physidae
Source: RefSeq, a predicted model, not a curated record